GUCCUUUUGUUAAAAAUUUAAGGUCUCACCUGCCCAAUGAGUUUUAAAUGGCCGCGGUAUUUUGACCGUGCUAAGGUAGCAUAAUCAUUAGUUUUUUAAUUGAAAGCUGGAAUGAAGGGUUGGAUGAAAAAAUAACUGUCUUAAAUUUAAUUAUUUUGAAUUUUAUUAUUAAGUUAAAAAGCUUAAAUAUUUUUAAAAGACGAGAAGACCCUAUAGAGUUUUAUAAUAUAAAUUUAUUAAUAUUUAGGAUUUAUUUUUUUUUAUAUUUAUUAUUAUUUAAUUGGGGUGAUUAAAAAAUUUAAUUAACUUUUUUUUUAUUAGAAUAUUUAUAAAUAAAUUUAUGAUCCUAUUUUUAGAUUAUAAGAAUAAGUUACCUUAGGGAUAACAGCGUAAUUUUAUUUAAGAGUUCAAAUCGAAAAUAGGGAUUGCGA
Molecule: ribosomal RNA, 431 nt
Filed under: Apteropeda orbiculata
Lineage: Eukaryota; Metazoa; Arthropoda; Insecta; Coleoptera; Chrysomelidae
Description: partial 16S large subunit ribosomal RNA
Source: RNAcentral